GAUUACUGACAACUGUCUUAAAAGGCCAGAACAUCACUGGUCAAAGAACACAGAAAGGAAAGAAAGUAUUUCUGUGGGAAGUACUUCCUGUCAUACAGGCUCGAGUAGAAAAAAUGGAAAACCAGGGACAUUAUAAGGAAAUAGUUCGCUACUUGAAAGCUGUGAAAUGCAAUGACAUUCUAGGGUUAAGAAAGCUUAGAGAUAAAAUUCCAUUCUACUUGUGCAAAAGUGGAGACUUCAUUAGUGCUGUACAUUCAUUGUUGCUUCCCUUCAAUAACCUUGCAUGCUGUACCGCCUGCCGGAUAACCCCUUUCCAGUUUGAGAUCUACCUAAAGAUGUUCAGAACCGGGAGUGUUCCCU
Molecule: long non-coding RNA, 360 nt
Filed under: Chelonoidis abingdonii (Abingdon island giant tortoise)
Lineage: Eukaryota; Metazoa; Chordata; Testudines; Testudinidae
Description: lncRNA (ENSCABG00000020930.1)
Source: RNAcentral